UAGGGAAUCUUCCACAAUGGACGCAAGUCUGAUGGAGCAACGCCGCGUGAGUGAAGAAGGUUUUCGGACCGUAAAGCUCUGUUGUUGGUGAAGAAGGAUAGAGGUAGUAACUGGCCUUUAUUUGACGGUAAUCAACCAGAAAGUCACGGCUAACUACGUGCCAGCAGCCGCGGUAAUACGUAGGUGGCAAGCGUUGUCCGGAUUUAUUGGGCGUAAAGCGAGCGCAGGCGGAAGAAUAAGUCUGAUGUGAAAGCCCUCGGCUUAACCGAGGAAUUGCAUCGGAAACUGUUUUCUUGAGUGCAGAAGAGGAGAGUAGAACUCCAUGUGUAGCGGUGGAAUGCGUAGAUAUAUGGAAGAAUACCAGUGGCGAAGGCGGCUCUCUGGUCUGCAACUGACGCUGAGGCUCGAAAGCAUGGGUAGCGAACAGGAUUAGAUACCCUGGUAGUCCAUGCCGUAAACGAUGAGUGCUAAGUGUUGGGAGGCUUCCGCCUCUCAGUGCUGCAGCUAACGCAUUAAGCACUCCGCCUGGGGAGUACGACCGCAAGGUUGAAACUCU
RNAcentral lists this ribosomal RNA (556 nucleotides) under uncultured bacterium. RNAcentral describes it as "partial 16S ribosomal RNA". It matches the Rfam family "Bacterial small subunit ribosomal RNA", at positions 355 to 903 of the family's 1533-position model. The record is from RNAcentral.